UACAUAGGUGGCAAGCGUUGUCCGGAAUGACUGGGCGUAAAGGGAGCGUAGGCGGUCUGUUAAGUUGGGAGUGAAAUCCCGGGGCUCAACCCCGGAACUGCUUUCAAGACUGACGGACUUGAGUGUAAGAGGGGUAAGCGGAAUUCCUAGUGUAGCGGUGGAAUGCGUAGAUAUUAGGAGGAACACCAGUGGCGAAGGCGGCUUACUGGAUUAUAACUGACGCUGAGGCUCGAAAGCGUGGGUAGCAAACAGG
This 253-nucleotide ribosomal RNA is filed under the name uncultured bacterium. RNAcentral describes it as "partial 16S ribosomal RNA". It matches the Rfam family "Bacterial small subunit ribosomal RNA", at positions 524 to 776 of the family's 1533-position model. The record is from RNAcentral.